UACGUAGGGUGCGAGCGUUAAUCGGAAUUACUGGGCGUAAAGCGUGCGCAGGCGGUUUUGUAAGCCAGAUGUGAAAGCCCCGGGCUCAACCUGGGAAUGGCAUUUGGGACUGCAAGGCUUGAGUGCGGCAGAGGAGACUGGAAUUCCUGGUGUAGCAGUGAAAUGCGUAGAUAUCAGGAGGAAUACCGAUGGCGAAGGCAGGUCUCUGGGCUAUAACUGACGCUCAUGCACGAAAGCGUGGGGAGCAAACAGG
This 253-nucleotide ribosomal RNA is filed under the name uncultured bacterium. RNAcentral's name for it is "partial 16S ribosomal RNA". It matches the Rfam family "Bacterial small subunit ribosomal RNA", at positions 524 to 776 of the family's 1533-position model. The record is from RNAcentral.